This is a long non-coding RNA of Vidua chalybeata, 946 nucleotides long. RefSeq lists it as uncharacterized. The record is from RefSeq and is a predicted model, not a curated record. The transcript is spliced from 4 exons. Lineage: Eukaryota; Metazoa; Chordata; Aves; Passeriformes; Viduidae.
ACAAAAUCACAGAAGUGGAAGCACACAUGCUUGCAGAACAUCUUAGGCCUUGGGAUGAUGGUUUGAACUGGCUUUUUGAGCGAGGACCAGACUAUAGUUAUUUGCACUCUGAAGAAUGUCUAGCUUUUAACCUACUGAGUGAACCAUGGAGAAUUCUCUGAAGGGAGGGAUUACUGGUCUUACAGCACUCUUUGAGGACAAAAGCAGGGCAAAUAUGCUGUUUGGACAGUUGUCCUUGUUAGUUCUUUUUUCAAAGGAGGUUUUGAGCUAUCAACCCACACAAUUUUUUUUGGCGUAUUCAUGGAACAUUGUGUACUGAAAUUUUGUCUACAGUGAAUCUAUUCUUUUGGUGGGAAGGUUCUCCAUCUGUCAAGCCUUUCCUUCCAAGUCAGGAUGGUGGAUGCUAGGAUCUCUAAAUUGCAUCUGUACAAUUCAUGCAAGAUUGUGACUACUGUGCCCACACAAAUUUUCUCUACCAACACUGGAGCACCACUUGUGCACAAAGAACAGUCAUGUCCUAAAGGCAAUGGCCUUGUGUUGAGCACAAACAGAAAGAGUCUGGACUACACUUGGAUCAAAAAAUCAAACCAAGGAAAGAAGGAGAAGAAGACUGUUGAAUCCCUGAAGCACUGACAUUUACAGGUUACAAGUAGGUGGGAAAGGUCUCAUAUGGGUGUCACUUAAACUGAAACCAAUUAAGAAACAUCUGUAGACAAUAGAACAGUGUCAAAUGUGAACAAUGAAAUUUCUUCUAAGAGAAGAGACAGAGAGUAGAGUACACUCUCAGCAAGACUGAAAAAGCUCUGUCCAAACAAAAGCCAUGUUUAUGUCCUCACUGGAGCUCCAGUGUGUUGCAACCUGUCUCUCAAGAGCACUGUAGACCAAGACAUAGUUGACCCAGACAUUACAAUCAGCAAUACUAAUUAAAUUUCAAACACCAUCAUCA